CGGGACGGGUGAGUAAUGCUAGGAAUCUGCCUGGUAGUGGGGGACAACGUUUCGAAAGGAACGCUAAUACCGCAUACGUCCUACGGGAGAAAGCAGGGGACCUUCGGGCCUUGCGCUAUCAGAUGAGCCUAGGUCGGAUUAGCUAGUUGGUGAGGUAAUGGCUCACCAAGGCGACGAUCCGUAACUGGUCUGAGAGGAUGAUCAGUCACACUGGAACUGAGACACGGUCCAGACUCCUACGGGAGGCAGCAGAC
This 254-nucleotide ribosomal RNA is filed under the name uncultured Pseudomonas sp. Its description in RNAcentral is "partial 16S ribosomal RNA". It matches the Rfam family "Bacterial small subunit ribosomal RNA", at positions 98 to 354 of the family's 1533-position model. Lineage: Bacteria; Pseudomonadati; Pseudomonadota; Gammaproteobacteria; Pseudomonadales; Pseudomonadaceae. The record is from RNAcentral.